AAAGAAAACAGUUUCCUAUUCCUAUCUGCUCAGAUGACUCUUGAAUUACUGUUACUCUCCUUCUUUCCAGUUUUCAGGAAGAAAACACCUGAGAGGGAUGGGUUUGCACAGUGAUUUGUUUGGGUUUUUUGCUGCUGCCUAUUUCUCUCGGGCUUCGGAAGUCUCCAUCCAGGAAGAGAGAAGUUUCACCUCAUCCCACAGAAAUCUACCAUGGGAAGUUACAGGUGACAACACACAUGCACCAAGUGAAAGUCCAGCCUUCCACAGCUAAGAUAAAUAGUGAUCAUACUGCAAGGCUUUGAAGGAAAACCAGACAACGCUUCUUGAGCAAAUAUUCCUAACAAGAACAACAAAUCUCCAGCAAAAAUAGCAAUGUUUUGUACUCUCCUUACAUUCUGUUAUGUAUACUGUACAAAACAAAA
Long non-coding RNA from Neopsephotus bourkii (Bourke's parrot), 422 nucleotides. RefSeq lists it as uncharacterized. The record is from RefSeq and is a predicted model, not a curated record. The transcript is spliced from 3 exons. Lineage: Eukaryota; Metazoa; Chordata; Aves; Psittaciformes; Psittacidae.